GACGAACGCUGGCGGCGUGCUUAACACAUGCAAGUCGAACGGAAAGGCCCUGCUUUUGUGGGGUGCUCGAGUGGCGAACGGAUGAGUAACACGUGAGUAACCUGCCCUUGACUUUGGGAUAACUUCAGGAAACUGGGGCUAAUACCGGAUAGGAGCUCCUGCUGCAUGGUGGGGGUUGGAAAGUUUCGGCGGUUGGGGAUGGACUCGCGGCUUAUCAGCUUGUUGGUGGGGUAGUGGCUUACCAAGGCUUUGACGGGUAGCCGGCCUGAGAGGGUGACCGGCCACACUGGGACUGAGAUACGGCCCAGACUCCUACGGGAGGCAGCAGUGGGGAAUAUUGCGCAAUGGGCGGAAGCCUGAUGCAGCAACGCCGCGUGCGGGAUGACGGCCUUCGGGUUGUAAACCGCUUUCGCCUGUGACGAAGCGUGAGUGACGGUAAUGGGUAAAGAAGCACCGGCUAACUACGUG
This 468-nucleotide ribosomal RNA is filed under the name uncultured bacterium. Its description in RNAcentral is "partial 16S ribosomal RNA". It matches the Rfam family "Bacterial small subunit ribosomal RNA", at positions 28 to 507 of the family's 1533-position model. The record is from RNAcentral.